This 234-nucleotide long non-coding RNA is filed under the name Linum usitatissimum (flax). RNAcentral describes it as "long non-coding RNA (LUSI_LNC000405)". Lineage: Eukaryota; Viridiplantae; Streptophyta; Magnoliopsida; Malpighiales; Linaceae. The record is from RNAcentral.
CUCGCAUUGUCAGCUGGAAUACCACUCUAAUGCACUGUUGAACAUGCUUAAUGCACAUAAGUUAGACAUCAUGCCCUAAACCUUCACUUCCACAUCAGAUAGUGAAGGUUCGUCCAAAUGUUCUUCAAAAGCAGCAUCAAUAUCAACGAACUAAAACAAAGAGGGGUUCAGGCAGAGCAGAGAUUACAAGGUAACAAUAGACAGCAAAAAGACUAUCCGAAAAAUGUUCUGAAA